UAGAGGACGCAUUUCUAAUGAAUGGAUAAUAUCCGAAUACUUUUACUGCUAGCACCACCUGUUGACUGUCAGUCGUACUAAUGUUCACGCAGCCAUUUUGUGUAGGGAUAUCUACGAAUAUUCAGCAAAACGUAAAUAAUAAAUACCUACCAAUUAAAAAAAUAAUGUAACGUGUAUGUUAUACAUGUUAGCGAUCCAAAUUAAAUACAUUUUAUAAAUUGUUAACUUUAAAAAUACUUAUGAGUUUUGAAUUAUCCUUUAAGUUUAAAUUCGUAUUUUUAUUAUAUUUAUUAACGUCUUCAUUUGUCUCUGUUUAAGUUAUCACUUUCGCUUAUAAUGCUUUAAACAAAUCUUAUGCUGAAAAUCUGAAGUAAUAUUAUACACAAACAAAAUAAAACCAGAUUCCGAAGCUAAUGGAUGUAGGGACGCGUUAGUGGAUGCGAGUGUCGCAUCCCUAGAAAUCUCGAAUUAGUGGAUGCGUGAAGGGAUGCAUCGGCAUCCCUUGUGAGAAUUCGGAUUCAACACAAAGAUGGCUGCGUCCACUACGAUGCACUUUUAGUGGAUCCCUUAGCUAAGGGAUCCAUUAGGCCAGUAUUCGGAUACAGCUUGUCAGCCGCAUGAAAACGCCACCACCUCGCAGCAAUCCACUACCAAGGAUAUUCAUACAGUUGGAAAAAAGUUAAGAUUGGCAUAUCUAGGUGACUUCAAUGAGAAGAACCUGACUUCCCAGCAGAAGUAAGAAGUGCCUUGGUGCUGCAAAGGAAAUAAGAUUAAAAUACCAUAAGAAACUGAAACUCCUUCAUCAGCGGUGUAAACGAGCCACUGCAAAAAUAGUGAGCCUUCAGGCAGUUAUCUCGCAUCUGCAGGACAAGAAACUGAUGGGUGAUGUUGCUGCAGAUACACUACAGAAAUAUUUGCCACCUGCUGUUGCGGAUCUCAUCCAGCGAUGGAAGAAGGGGCCAACCAGAGAAGCCUAUCCUCCAGAGCUGAGGACGUUUGCUCUGACACUGAAUUUCUACUCGGUAAAUAUGUAGUUAAGCGGUAUUUGCGAAAAAAAAAUGUUAAAAAUCUGAAAAUACUUUUAUUGUAUGCUCUUCAACUUCCUCUUUUCAUUAAAAGCGGCGGAGAUAAGAAAUUCCAAAUACUUUAGGAGAUAUUGCCGUUCUUAUUUUGCUAUGCAAGACCUGUGUAAUCAUUCGACCAUCGCAAUUUUUUUAUUGCCAUGUGUUUGUGAAUGCCUAAUUAAUGAAAAUGGUUGAUUAGGUCAGGUCAGUUACAUUAUAAAUACUUUGAAACUAAGCGUACAUAAAAAAUAAUAUGAAUUAAUUUCAAUGGUUUUUUAGUUUUAAAGUAUUUAUAAUGUUACUUACCUGACCUAACAAACCGGGACAAAGGAUGAACAGUAACAACUCACGUAAAAUUAUUUUGUUACUUAUUACUUGCGCAACAAUAUCCAAAUAACAAAUAAAACUUUAAAAUUAGAAACGUUAAAAGCUCACCUAAGUUGGAGGCGGUAAUUAAACACUGUUUUAAACAAUAAAUGAACUAAAAAAUAACAUAUUGGUUCAUUUGAAUUCUGGCCUAUCACGAACAAUCACGUGACAUCAUUAUCCAAUAAAAAAAUAGAUACUCGUAAACAAGAAACAAUGUUGAAUGCCACAUGAAUGCACUGGUAUUGUGAUGAAAUUUAAAAAUUCGAUAUCUCCUAAAGUAUUUGGAAUUUCUUAUCUCCCCUGCUUUUAAUGAAAAUAGGAAGUUGAAGAGCAUAUAAUAAAGGUAUUUUCGGAUUUUUAACAUUUUUUUUUCGCAAAUACCGCUGAACUACAUAUGAUGAAAUUAAAAAAUAUAUCUCCUAAAGUAUUUGGAAUUUCUUACCUCAACCGCUUUUAAUGAAAAGAGGAAGUUAAAGAGCAUAUAAUGAAGGUAUUUUCUGAUUUUUUACAUUUUUUUUCUCGAAUACCGCUCAACUACAUAUUUACCUUCUACUCUCCUAAGGCGUACAAUUAUGUUAGAAAAAUGUUCAUGAAGUGUUUGCCACAUCCUGUUACACUGCAGAAGUGGUAUUCAACUGUUGAUGGAAAGCCAAGCUUCAGUACUGAGGCUUGUACAGCAUUGAAACUGAAGACAGCAGAAAAUGUUACUUGUGGUAAACCUACAUUAUGUUCUUUGAUGUUAGAUGAAAUGGCCAUACGUAAACAUAUAGAAUUUGAUGGUCAGAGUUUCAUUGGAUAUACUGACUUCGGUACAGGGUUGGAUGAUGAUUCCCUACCUGAAGCAAGGGAAGCAUUGGUGUUCAUGGCUGUUGCUCUAAAUGGUAGCUGGAAGAUCCCAGUAGGGUAUUUCUUGAUUGCUGGUCUGCUUGUAUAAUAGUCUACCUCAGCAUGUUAAAAAUAUCAAUAGUAAAAAAUAAUUUGCAAUAGAGUUAAAAAAAAAUAGCAGAAGAACUGUUUUUCUAUUCCUUCAAAGAUAUUGAAGACUAUGAAAAUAAAAAAUAAUAGUAAAUAUUUUAUAGGGUAAUUUCAAACCCACUUGUAAUUUAUGCUAUUACUAUCUUUAUUGCAUACUAAUUAUGUUAUAUAUGUU
Molecule: long non-coding RNA, 2583 nt
Organism: Bacillus rossius redtenbacheri
Lineage: Eukaryota; Metazoa; Arthropoda; Insecta; Phasmatodea; Bacillidae
Exons: 3
Source: RefSeq, a predicted model, not a curated record